CAACCUACGGGACGCAGCAGUAGGGAAUCUUCCACAAUGGACGAAAGUCUGAUGGAGCAACGCCGCGUGAGUGAAGAAGGGUUUUGGCUCGUAAAGCUCUGUUUGUAGUGAAGAAAGAUAGAGGUAGUAACUGGCCUUUAUUUGACGGUAAUUACUUAGAAAGUCACGGCUAACUACGUGCCAGCAGCCGCGGUAAUACGUAGGUGGCAAUCGGUGUCCGGAUUUAUUGGGCGUAAAG
Molecule: ribosomal RNA, 238 nt
Filed under: uncultured bacterium
Lineage: Bacteria
Description: partial 16S ribosomal RNA
Rfam family: Bacterial small subunit ribosomal RNA
Source: RNAcentral